GCCGGGAUGGUCUAAUCGGUUAAGGCGUCGCCCCGGGCAGGUGAAGGUUGCGGGUUCGAUCCCCGCUCCUGGCC
Non-coding RNA from Ixodes scapularis (black-legged tick), 74 nucleotides. NCBI's taxonomy places the organism in Eukaryota, Metazoa, Arthropoda, Arachnida, Ixodida, Ixodidae. The record is from Rfam.